GAUUUGCUUUACAUACACACCUAGCUCCUUUCAGCUGGACACUGAAACUUUCAUUUUAUUUCUUCACCUGCCACUCAGGCUUCACACAAGAUACCAACUAUGCCGAAGAUCUUGAUCCUCCCAGCGCUGCUUGUUUUGCUUAUGCCUCCUCUCAGACAAGCCCAAGAGGAUCUAAUUGGGGACAAAUCUGAGGAAUCUGGUGCCUUUGAAUCUGGGCAAGCAAGUGAGGAGUUUAGUGGAGAAGCAAGUGGGGAACCUAGUGGACAAGUCAGUGGAGAGUUAGGCUGGGAGCCCAGUGGGCAACCUAUGGGUCAAUCCAGCCUCCCUGAAGAAAGCAGUGGAAGUGGAUCUGACCCCUCAUAUGAAAUAGAUUGAAGUGGAUGAAACGUCCCCCCCGACUCCCUUCACAUCAUCAGCUGCAUUGAAGGAAAAUUCAAGCCUCAAAAUGAGAAACACAACUUCACCCUUGAGAAAUGAGUGUAUAGAGCAUUAGAAAGAGUGCUGAUGAGUUUGUUACAUUUCUAAUAUUUGUGAUUAUUCUCUUAAUAAAGUAUUUAGGGUGCAUUAUAUUCUAAAAAGU
This 580-nucleotide long non-coding RNA is filed under the name Gopherus agassizii (Agassiz's desert tortoise). Its description in RNAcentral is "lncRNA (ENSGAGG00000017783.1)". Lineage: Eukaryota; Metazoa; Chordata; Testudines; Testudinidae. The record is from RNAcentral.